Molecule: long non-coding RNA, 2900 nt
Organism: Hemicordylus capensis (graceful crag lizard)
Lineage: Eukaryota; Metazoa; Chordata; Lepidosauria; Squamata; Cordylidae
Exons: 2
Source: RefSeq, a predicted model, not a curated record
CCUCGCUGCAGCUUCCCAGGGGGCCUCUCUAGCAAUCUUGCCUCUCUUCGUUUAACCCUUAGACGGACCUUCCCCUGUCAGCAAAAGGGACUCCUUCAAAGAGAGCGCCAGGAGAGGCCACUUACAAGGGGGAAAACUCACUCCGGGCUGUGCGCUGCGCCCCCGCUUUGGCAGGACACUGUGGUGGAAUCCGGAGGGACACUGGCACUGGAGGAGGGUUAAAUGGAGCCAGUAGAGAUUAUUCCUAGAGAGAGAGAGCGAGGGAGGGAGGGGGGGUCUCUGCACUGGAGAUGCCCCUCCCCCAGAACUUAGGGAAAGUUCGGAUGCUCCCCUCCCCUGUGCUUUAUUAAUUAUUAUUUCAAUGAAAUGCAAUGUCUUUGCACAUAGAAAACCAGCAGGAAGAAAGCUUUCCUUCCUAGGCUGCCCACUGAUAAGUCAGCACUUCCACCUCUAGAGAGUUAUUAAUUUAUUUAUUCUAGAGUUAUUUAUUUAUUUAUUUAUUUAUUUAUUUAUUUAUUUAUUUAUUUGAGUUAUUAUUCCACCAGACAGUCUGGUGGAAUCCGGAGGGACACUGGCACUGUUCCCGGACCGGUUCGGAGGCCAUUCUACAGGCCUCCAGACCGGUCCGGACAUGGGGGGUUUGGGUUCGGAUGGAUUGGGGUGGGGGUUCCUUUAAGGGCGGGGGAGCGUUUACUUACCCUCCCACGCUUUCCAACCCCGGCGGCCGUAUUUCUUUUAGCUACGGGGCAGCAGGAUACCUCCCUGCCGUCCCUUCAGCCGCUUCGCUGCGCAUGCGCCCUUAUUUCUUUAAGCAAUGGCGUUGCGCCGUUGGCUCUCAGAUUCCCCCACCACAUGUAUUUGCUGUUUCCUCUGUCAGAGGCUGCCUGCGGCCGCUGGAUAAACGAGGGAUUCUGUCAAAUCCCCCUGCCGCCCCCUCCCCAAAGUAGCUGCUGCUGCUGCAAAAAGCUUUAAGAAGCCUUUUGCCUGCCACCCGCUCCCCAAAUGUAGCUGGCUUUGAAACUAUACUUUGCCUCAAUCCAGUCACUUCUCUCUCAGCCUAACCUACUUUAGAGGGUUGUUGUGAGGAGAAACUCAUGUAUGUAGUACACCGCUCUGGGCUCCUUGGAGGAAGAGCGGGAUAGAAAUGUUAAAAUAAAUAAAUAAAAUAAAUAAAUAAAUAAAAUCGCUUGAGUCCAAACGUUUGCACACAUUAAAACUGGUGGAACUGACCCUUCUAACAGUUAAUUCCCCAAACAGCCUGAACAUUGCCGACCAAUCACCCCUGGGCCAGUUUCAUUAACAAUAUGGUAUUGUCAUUUUAUCCAGCCACCUAACUGCUCGGAGCCAUUUUUGGAAGGGCGGAAUAUAAAUGAAAUAAACCGACCAACAAAUAAAUAAUGGUGCAGCGGGGAAGUUACUUGCCUAGGGAGGAAGAGGUUGCUGGUUCAAAAUCCCGCAGGUAUGUUUCCCAGAUUCUGUAGCGAUGUAGGAAGAUGCUGAAAGGCAUCAUCUCCUACUGCACCGGAGAUGGCAGUGGUAAACCCCUCCUGCAUUCUACCAAAGAAAACCACAGGGCUCUGUGGUCGCCAGGAGCCGACACCAACUCGAUGGCACAACUUUGUCAUUUUAUAGAUAUUCUCUUUUCUAUCUGCAUACAUCUUCAGAGAUUUUAUUACAUAUAUAUCUUAAGGUUUAUAGAUUUUGCUUGGAAAAAAUAGGAUAUCAAAAUACACUGGAAUAAUUCAUUUCCUCAGCAGCUAUUCUUGCAUUGUUGUGAAAUUGCUUGUUGUGAAAUCCUCUUUUAAGAUGUUUAUUUUUGAAUUGAUAAUUUUACUGUGUAUACGCACCCCAAACUACUUUUUAAAUAUAAAGUUGUACCGAAGGCUGCUUACAAAUUCAAAAUUAGUCCUGUUGCUGAAAAAUGAAGCAUAUACUACUUGUUGUCUUUUGGGGAGAUGCUUGGGAAAUAUUUAACCUCGGUCAACCAGUUAUUUCCUAUCAGGUUAUCUUGAAAUUUGGCUAGUUGACAGUAAGGGCUGUUUUGAUGCUGUGUGCCAGAUAUCAGCAGGUUGGGACAAAAUGUCUAAAUUUGGUAAAAGAUGUUAAUGUUCAGUUCUUAUGGCGAAGCACUGCCUGAUUCCUCUGCCAGUGGGCAUCACAAUCCCAUCCUUGUUGGCCUCCCCACAUUUGACCAUAUAAGGUUCCUUUAAAAGCUUGUCUAAAUAUGGCCUGCCACUUUCUUCUGUCACAAUCACAGCUCCCCUCCCACUUCUGCACACAUCAUAAUACUCCACUGUCCUCUGAGCCCAAAUAAAAGCAGCUCACCUUUGCUGAGUAGCUCAGUCUCCCUGCGGGGGCAGAAAGAAAACCAGUAGUGUUCCCCCUCUGACCCCGUAGGUAGAGGACGCCGAGCUGUACCCUUUCCCCCCUCUAGAUCCCUGCAGGCUCCCUCGGGAGCUCCUAAUGGCCACGACCGUUUGUCAUCGUCUAGCGUGUCCUAUUCGGGCACAACGGCUGAAGCGGGGGUCUCCCCUUUCCCUGUAAGAAGAACCUUCCCAUGCAGCUCGAAGACCUUGCUCCCAAAGGCUAAGUCCUGUUGGUUGAGCCAUAGGUAGCUCAAGCUGUGUCUGGGCAGGAUCAUCCAUUGGUGGUCCUGCCCCGACACAGAUUGACCAAGGCCCACUGUUUAACCUGGCCGUGCAGGCCUGGCUGGUUGCCGCUUUUUGGAGCCGAGAAGGAAUUUUCCCCUGGGAGGUCUCUGGGUCCCCAGGUUUUUUGCCUUCUCUGCACGGCCUUCCUCUUGAGCUCUGCAAGUGCCUUGGCUUGCCGCUGAAGACGAGUCAACCAGUGGGUCUUUCCCCCUCCCACCCCUCCCCAAAUAAAAUAUAAAUAGAUUUGAA